GGUGACAUUAGCGAAGAGGCCACACCCGUUCCCAUCCCGAACACGGAAGUUAAGCUCUUCAGCGGCGAUGGUACUGCAGCGGAAGGCUGUGGGAGAGUAGCACGUCGCC
This 109-nucleotide ribosomal RNA is filed under the name marine eukaryotic metagenome. The record is from RNAcentral.